GACGAACGCUGGCGGCGUGCUUAACACAUGCAAGUCGAACGAAGUGGCGAACGGGUGAGUAACGCGUAAUCAACCUGCCCUUCAGAGGGGGAAAACAGUUGGAAACGACUGCUAAUACCGCAUACUUAAGGAGGGGAUUGCGUCUGAUUAGCUAGUGGGAGGGGUAACGGCCCACCAAGGCGAUGAUCAGCAGCCGGGGUGAUGGGAUGAACGGCCACAUUGGGACUGAGCAACGGCCCAGACUCCUACGGGAGGCAGCAGUGGGGAAUCUUCCGCAAUGGACGAAAGUCUGACGGAGCAACGCGGCGUGAGUGAUGACGGCCUUCGGGUUGUAAAGCUCUGUUAAUCGGGACGCGGUACCGGAAUAGAAAGCCACGGCUAACUACGUGCCAGCAGCCGCGGUAAUAC
Molecule: ribosomal RNA, 408 nt
Filed under: uncultured bacterium
Lineage: Bacteria
Description: partial 16S ribosomal RNA
Rfam family: Bacterial small subunit ribosomal RNA
Source: RNAcentral